This 79-nucleotide transfer RNA is filed under the name Klebsiella michiganensis. RNAcentral's name for it is "tRNA-OTHER". It matches the Rfam family "tRNA". From Rfam's summary of the family: Transfer RNA (tRNA) molecules are approximately 80 nucleotides in length. Their secondary structure includes four short double-helical elements and three loops (D, anti-codon, and T loops). The record is from RNAcentral. Lineage: Bacteria; Pseudomonadati; Pseudomonadota; Gammaproteobacteria; Enterobacterales; Enterobacteriaceae.
GCAUCCGUAGCUCAGCUGGAUAACGUUGCUUUAGCAACGGCCCGAGCGGUCGGAGGUUCGAAUCCUCCCGGAUGCACCA